RNAcentral lists this ribosomal RNA (497 nucleotides) under uncultured bacterium. RNAcentral describes it as "partial 16S ribosomal RNA". It matches the Rfam family "Bacterial small subunit ribosomal RNA", at positions 29 to 523 of the family's 1533-position model. The record is from RNAcentral.
AUUGAACGCUGGCGGCAUGCCUUACACAUGCAAGUCGAACGGUAACGCGGGGCAACCUGGCGACGAGUGGCGAACGGGUGAGUAACGCAUCGGAACGUGCCCAGUAGUGGGGGAUAGCCCGGCGAAAGCCGGAUUAAUACCGCAUACGACCUACGGGUGAAAGAGGGGGAUCGCAAGACCUCUCGCUAUUGGAGCGGCCGAUGUCAGAUUAGGUAGUUGGUGGGGUAAAGGCCUACCAAGCCUACGAUCUGUAGCUGGUCUGAGAGGACGACCAGCCACACUGGGACUGAGACACGGCCCAGACUCCUACGGGAGGCAGCAGUGGGGAAUUUUGGACAAUGGGCGCAAGCCUGAUCCAGCCAUGCCGCGUGCGGGAAGAAGGCCUUCGGGUUGUAAACCGCUUUUGUCAGGGAGGAAACGCACUGGACUAAUACUCUGGGGUAAUGACGGUACCUGAAGAAUAGCACCGGCUAACUACGUGCCAGCCGCCGCUGUAA